GAUGAACGCUGGCGGCGUGCCUAAUACAUGCAAGUCGAGCGAACGGACGAGAAGCUUGCUUCUCUGAUGUUAGCGGCGGACGGGUGAGUAGCACGUGGAUAACCUACCUAUAAGACUGGGAUAACUUCGGGAAACCGGAGCUAAUACUGGAUAAUAUUUUGAACCGCAUGGUUCAAAAGUGAAAGACGGUCUUGCUGUCACUUAUAGAUGGAUCCGCGCUGCAUUAGCUAGUUGGUAAGGUAACGGCUUACCAAGGCAACGAUGCAUAGCCGACCUGAGAGGGUGAUCGGCCACACUGGAACUGAGACACGGUCCAGACUCCUACGGGAGGCAGCAGUAGGGAAUCUUCCGCAAUGGGCGAAAGCCUGACGGAGCAACGCCGCGUGAGUGAUGAAGGUCUUCGGAUCGUAAAACUCUGUUAUUAGGGAAGAACAUAUGUGUAAGUAGCUGUGCUCAUCUUGACGGUACCUAAUCAGAAAGCCACGGCUAACUACGUG
Molecule: ribosomal RNA, 497 nt
Filed under: uncultured bacterium
Lineage: Bacteria
Description: partial 16S ribosomal RNA
Rfam family: Bacterial small subunit ribosomal RNA
Source: RNAcentral